AUUGAACGCUGGCGGCAGGCCUAACACAUGCAAGUCGAACGGUAACAGGAAGCAGCUUGCUGCUUUGCUGACGCGUGGCGGACGGGUGAGUAAUGUCUGGGAAACUGCCUGAUGGAGGGGGAUAACUACUGGAAACGGUAGCUAAUACAGCAUAACGUCGCAAGACCAAAGAGGGGGACCUUCUGGCCUCUUGCCCUCUGGUGUGCCCAGAUGGGAUUAGCUAGUAGGUGGGGUAACGGCUCACCUAGGCGACGAUCCCUAGCUGGUCUGAGAGGAUGACCAGCCACACUGGAACUGAGACACGGUCCAGACUCCUACGGGAGGCAGCAGUGGGGAAUAUUGGACAAUGGGCGCAAGCCUGAUGCAGCCAUGCCGCGUGUAUGAAGAAGGCCUUCGGGUUGUAAAGUACUUUCGGCGGGGAGGAAGGGAGUAAAGUUAAUACCUUGGCUUAUUGACGGUACCCGCAGAAGAAGCACCGGCUAACUCCGUG
Molecule: ribosomal RNA, 490 nt
Filed under: uncultured bacterium
Lineage: Bacteria
Description: partial 16S ribosomal RNA
Rfam family: Bacterial small subunit ribosomal RNA
Source: RNAcentral